CCUACGGGCGGCUGCAGUGGGGAAUAUUGGACAAUGGGCGAAAGCCUGAUCCAGCAAUGCCGCGUGAGUGAUGAAGGCCUUAGGGUUGUAAAGCUCUUUUACCCGGGAAGAUAAUGACGGUACCGGGAGAAUAAGCCCCGGCUAACUCCGUGCCAGCAGCCGCGGUAAUACGGAGGGGGCUAGCGUUGUUCGGAAUUACUGGGCGUAAAGCGCACGUAGGCGGCUUUGCAAGUUAGAGGUGAAAGCCUGGGGCUCAACUCCAGAAUUGCCUUUAAGACUGCAUCGCUCGAAUCCGGGAGAGGUGAGUGGAAUUCCGAGUGUAGAGGUGAAAUUCGUAGAUAUUCGGAAGAACACCAGUGGCGAAGGCGGCUCACUGGACCGGUAUUGACGCUGAGGUGCGAAAGCGUGGGGAGCAAACAGGAUUAGAUACCCCAGUAGUC
This 440-nucleotide ribosomal RNA is filed under the name uncultured Sphingomonas sp. RNAcentral's name for it is "bacterial SSU rRNA". It matches the Rfam family "Bacterial small subunit ribosomal RNA", at positions 338 to 795 of the family's 1533-position model. Lineage: Bacteria; Pseudomonadati; Pseudomonadota; Alphaproteobacteria; Sphingomonadales; Sphingomonadaceae. The record is from RNAcentral.